Molecule: ribosomal RNA, 730 nt
Filed under: Halomonas sp. HB3c
Lineage: Bacteria; Pseudomonadati; Pseudomonadota; Gammaproteobacteria; Oceanospirillales; Halomonadaceae
Description: bacterial SSU rRNA
Rfam family: Bacterial small subunit ribosomal RNA
Source: RNAcentral
AUCCAGCCAUGCCGCGUGUGUGAAGAAGGCUUUCGGGUUGUAAAGCACUUUCAGUGGGGAAGAAAUCCUCGGGGCCAAUACCCUCGAGGGAGGACAUCACCCACAGAAGAAGCACCGGCUAACUCCGUGCCAGCAGCCGCGGUAAUACGGAGGGUGCGAGCGUUAAUCGGAAUUACUGGGCGUAAAGCGCGCGUAGGCGGCGUGAUAAGCCGGUUGUGAAAGCCCCGGGCUCAACCUGGGAACGGCAUCCGGAACUGUCAGGCUAGAGUGCAGGAGAGGAAGGUAGAAUUCCCGGUGUAGCGGUGAAAUGCGUAGAGAUCGGGAGGAAUACCAGUGGCGAAGGCGGCCUUCUGGACUGACACUGACGCUGAGGUGCGAAAGCGUGGGUAGCAAACAGGAUUAGAUACCCUGGUAGUCCACGCCGUAAACGAUGUCGACUAGCCGUUGGGGUCCUUGUGACCUUUGUGGCGCAGUUAACGCGAUAAGUCGACCGCCUGGGGAGUACGGCCGCAAGGUUAAAACUCAAAUGAAUUGACGGGGGCCCGCACAAGCGGUGGAGCAUGUGGUUUAAUUCGAUGCAACGCGAAGAACCUUACCUACUCUUGACAUCGUGCGAACUUUCCAGAGAUGGAUUGGUGCCUUCGGGAACGCACAGACAGGUGCUGCAUGGCCGUCGUCAGCUCGUGUUGUGAAAUGUUGGGUUAAGUCCCGUAACGAGCGCAACCCUUGU